This 76-nucleotide transfer RNA is filed under the name Pseudoselenomonas ruminantium. RNAcentral's name for it is "Selenomonas ruminantium tRNA_Gly_GCC". It matches the Rfam family "tRNA". Rfam says of the family: Transfer RNA (tRNA) molecules are approximately 80 nucleotides in length. The record is from RNAcentral. Lineage: Bacteria; Bacillati; Bacillota; Negativicutes; Selenomonadales; Selenomonadaceae. RNAcentral also lists the same sequence under 12 other names.
GCGGAAAUAGCUCAGUUGGUAGAGCAUCACCUUGCCAAGGUGGGGGUCGCGAGUUCGAGUCUCGUUUUCCGCUCCA